RNAcentral lists this transfer RNA (74 nucleotides) under Candidatus Neomicrothrix parvicella RN1. Its description in RNAcentral is "Candidatus Microthrix parvicella RN1 tRNA". It matches the Rfam family "tRNA". Rfam says of the family: Transfer RNA (tRNA) molecules are approximately 80 nucleotides in length. Their secondary structure includes four short double-helical elements and three loops (D, anti-codon, and T loops). RNAcentral also lists the same sequence under 12 other names. The record is from Rfam by way of RNAcentral. Lineage: Bacteria; Bacillati; Actinomycetota; Acidimicrobiia; Acidimicrobiales; Microthrixaceae.
CGCGGGGUGGAGCAGUCUGGUAGCUCGUCGGGCUCAUAACCCGAAGGUCGCAGGUUCAAAUCCUGCCCCCGCCA